RNAcentral lists this ribosomal RNA (497 nucleotides) under uncultured bacterium. RNAcentral describes it as "partial 16S ribosomal RNA". It matches the Rfam family "Bacterial small subunit ribosomal RNA", at positions 28 to 507 of the family's 1533-position model. The record is from RNAcentral.
GAUGAACGCUGGCGGCGUGCCUAAUACAUGCAAGUCGAGCGAACAGACGAGGAGCUUGCUCCUUUGACGUUAGCGGCGGACGGGUGAGUAACACGUGGAUAACCUACUUAUAAGACUGGGAUAACUUCGGGAAACCGGAGCUAAUACCGGAUAAUAUAUCCUACCGCAUGGUUCAAUAGUGAAAGACGGUUUUGCUGUUACUUUUAGAUGGUUCCGCGCCGCAUUAGCUAGUUGGUAAGGUAACGGCUUACCAAGGCGACGAUGCGUAGCCGACCUGAGAGGAUGAUCAGCCACACUGGAACUGAGACACGGUCCAGACUCCUACGGGAGGCAGCAGUAGGGAAUCUUCCACAAUGGGCGAAAGCCUGACGGAGCAACGCCGCGUGAGUGAUGAAGGUCUUCGGAUCGUAAAGCUCUGUUAUUGGGGAAGAACAAAUGUGUAUGUAACUAUGCACGUCUUGACGGUACCUAAUCAGAAAGCCACGGCUAACUACGUG